Molecule: ribosomal RNA, 164 nt
Filed under: Symphyotrichum oblongifolium
Lineage: Eukaryota; Viridiplantae; Streptophyta; Magnoliopsida; Asterales; Asteraceae
Description: 5.8S ribosomal RNA
Rfam family: 5.8S ribosomal RNA
About the family: 5.8S ribosomal RNA (5.8S rRNA) is a component of the large subunit of the eukaryotic ribosome.
Source: RNAcentral
CAAACGACUCUCGGCAACGGAUAUCUCGGCUCACGCAUCGAUGAAGAACGUAGCAAAAUGCGAUACUUGGUGUGAAUUGCAGAAUCCCGUGAACCAUCGAGUUUUUGAACGCAAGUUGCGCCCGAAGCCAUUCGGCUGAGGGCACGUUUGCCUGGGCGUCACGC